GUGGGGAAUAUUGGACAAUGGGCGAAAGCCUGAUCCAGCAAUGCCGCGUGAGUGAUGAAGGCCCUAGGGUUGUAAAGCUCUUUUACCCGGGAUGAUAAUGACAGUACCGGGAGAAUAAGCUCCGGCUAACUCCGUGCCAGCAGCCGCGGUAAUACGGAGGGAGCUAGCGUUGUUCGGAAUUACUGGGCGUAAAGCGCGCGUAGGCGGUUUUCCAAGUCAGGGGUGAAAGCCCGGGGCUCAACCCCGGAAUAGCCCUUGAAACUGGAAGACUAGAAUCUUGGAGAGGUCAGUGGAAUUCCUAGUGUAGAGGUGAAAUUCGUAGAUAUUCGGAAGAACACCAGUGGCGAAGGCGACUGACUGGACAAGUAUUGACGCUGAGGUGCGAAAGCGUGGGGAGCAAACAGGAUUAGAUACCCGGGUAGUCC
RNAcentral lists this ribosomal RNA (425 nucleotides) under uncultured bacterium. RNAcentral describes it as "partial 16S ribosomal RNA". It matches the Rfam family "Bacterial small subunit ribosomal RNA", at positions 354 to 796 of the family's 1533-position model. The record is from RNAcentral.